Molecule: long non-coding RNA, 852 nt
Organism: Oxyura jamaicensis (ruddy duck)
Lineage: Eukaryota; Metazoa; Chordata; Aves; Anseriformes; Anatidae
Exons: 2
Source: RefSeq, a predicted model, not a curated record
GACAAAAUGAUCCAGCUCAACAUUUCACUCAGAGUACAUCCACCCCUUGCAAUGGGCCACAGUGCAGACAUUUCUGAAGCAGCCCUAAACACACUGGUGCCAAGACUGUUGGAAGGGUAACAGGCCUUGACAUUGCUGUCAGCCAUUGGCUGGUACAACUAGCCCAAACACAACACCACAUUUAGGUGGCUAGAUUACCUGGGAACCUCAGUUCAAUCUUUGUGGCAUAUUUUGUUUUGUUCCGCAGAGAUAUUGAGUCUAGUCGUGGGAUCUGUAGCAUCUUCCUGUUGCAUCCAGAGUCACCACCAAAUGUGCUAAACAGUCCUACAACUUCGGGAAGAGAGUUUGCACUUGCAAAGAGCAGCCUGUUCUCAUGUAUUUGCUUGACUUGUAGACUAAAUCAAGAGUGCUGCCAUAAAGUUAAUGAACAGCAAGUGCCAGCCAGCUACAGAAUUUUUCAAAGGAAACCCUGCAAACUAAAAAAGAUGCCCUCAAACCAUCUGACUGCAGAGAGACUACGGGGAUUUUAGACCAGAUGGCUAAAUAUACAGAGGAACUCAUUUUAAAUAUAGUCUGUUUCUGCAGUGCAGAGGAAUGUUGCUGCAGAAAACACAAACAGUGCUUACCACUGGCUGCUGUGGAAGUCCGUAGUUACUUAAGGAAAAAUUCUUAUCUUAAUGCUACUAGCCUGGAGCAAUAGAUUGGUGAAAGAGCAAAACUGGAAAGCUGCAACAAAAAGAAGUACCUCGCCUGCAGCACAAGCAAUACAAAACAGAGGCAGAGGGUCACUGACAGUUUGUCAGCAAUAGCCCUAAUACCCCUAACAAACUGAGAGCCAAAUCUGCCUUAUCA